CUACGGGAGGCUGCAGUGGGGAAUAUUGCACAAUGGGCGAAAGCCUGAUGCAGCAACGCCGCGUGCGGGAUGAAGGCCCUAGGGUUGUAAACCGCUUUCAGCAGGGAAGAAAAUGACGGUACCUGUAGAAGAAGGUGCGGCCAACUACGUGCCAGCAGCCGCGGUGCACGUAGGCACCAAGCGUUGUCCGGAUUUAUUGGGCGUAAAGAGCUCGUAGGCGGUUCAGUAAGUCGGGUGUGAAAACUCUGGGCUCAACCCAGAGACGCCACCCGAUACUGCUGUGACUAGAGUGCGGUAGGGGAGCGGGGAAUUCCUAGUGUAGCGGUGAAAUGCGCAGAUAUUAGGGGGAACACCAGUGGCGAAGGCGCCGCUCUGGGCCGUAACUGACGCUGAGGAGCGAAAGCGUGGGUAGCAAACAGGAUUAGAUACCCUCGUAGUC
RNAcentral lists this ribosomal RNA (439 nucleotides) under uncultured bacterium. RNAcentral's name for it is "partial 16S ribosomal RNA". It matches the Rfam family "Bacterial small subunit ribosomal RNA", at positions 339 to 795 of the family's 1533-position model. The record is from RNAcentral.